Vidua macroura (Pin-tailed whydah) is the source of this 564-nucleotide long non-coding RNA. RefSeq lists it as uncharacterized. The record is from RefSeq and is a predicted model, not a curated record. NCBI's taxonomy places the organism in Eukaryota, Metazoa, Chordata, Aves, Passeriformes, Viduidae. The transcript has 2 exons.
GGCCGUGAGGGGCCGUGAGGGGCCGUGAGGGCGGGAUCCGCUCGGAGGGGCCGGGGGAAAGUGGGGAACGAGCAGAACGCCGCAGGCAGAGUCCCGGCAUCGGGGAAAGGCCGCAGGGCCGAGGCGUCCCCCAGCUGGAGCGUCUCCAGGCUGGGGAGCUCAGGGAUAGCGCAGGUUCUUGAGGGGAGAAGAGCUGGUGCCCCUCAGAGCUCGGGUGCUGUGGCAGCGCUGGAGACACGGCUGAAGAGGGGCCUCAGAAGCCCCAGAGGGGCUCCAAUAGCCAUGGAGAGAGACUUUGGACAAGGGCCUGGAGUGACCGGACGCAGGGUGUCCAGCACUGCCCAGAUGCCUCAGGGUGACACACAGGGCCCUGGCUCAGGUUUCCAGACAGUGGCACCAGGUCAGGAGAGGGUGACCUGUGCUGGGAAUGCACCUGACUUCUGUGACACCACCAUCAUCCGCAUAGCAGAAGAAUGAAACAGUGACUGAAAACAUUCACAAAGUUCCUAUGAGCAGGUUUGCACAGCUCGGAGCUUUAUUUCGCAAGAAAAAGUUGGAACUCGG